GGACUCACCUCUCGGACAGGGCUGAUUCCGAUCGGACACUUCCGGUGGAAGGACUGAGCGGCGCUACACUUCAAGAAUUCCGUCCACAGGGACUUGUGAGUCUGCGCAGAAGGCGGGAUGCCUUUGGACUACAAUUCCAAGAAUCCUUCCUGGGUCUCUUCGGGCGCAGACUUUUCGCCAAAGUCCUGAAGAUCUCAGGGCUUGAAGGAGGGGGCAUCUUUUUUCUCCAUUGUAGUAGUGUGUCUUGCUAAAUAACAGAAGGGACUCCUGAAAAGAAAAUGACGUUGGCCGGGCGCGGUGGCUCACGCCUGCAGUCCCAGCACUUUGGGAGGCCGAGACGGGCGGAUCACGAGAAGGGUGCGUCUCACGGAUGGAGCAAUGGCGAGAGCACACCUGAACAAGGGAGGGGAAGGGGUUCUUAUCCCUGACGCAGGUGGUGAAAUUGAAGCCCACGCAGCAGGGUUGCAACUGAAACUUCAUCUCCUCUGCAAAACCUUCCUGCAUUCCCAGACAACUUUUCUUCUGAGGCCUUGUUUGAUUCAUCCCCUUACCCCAGUGGAACUCAGAUAUUCAAAAUGGUAUUAAUUAAAACCACUGGCUGUCAUUGGUCCAUGCAUGGCCUUAAAGUGUGAACAUUUUUUAAUCCAUUACCUAGUCUAUAAGAACUGUAGAUUGACAACAACUUAGAUUUAAUACUACUCUUUUUCUAGUCCCUCUCUAUACUACCUCUCAUCCGAGGAAACACUAUCACAAAUUUUGUAUUUGUUGUUCCCUUGCUUUUUAACAAGAUGAUUCUAUUAGAUAUGUACUGUUUUGUCCCCCAAAAGUGGUGGCAGGGGAGUUCACACAAGGGAGUGCCCAAAACCGUCCUAGUUGGGGCUGGUUGGGAUUCCAAAGAAAGGAGCACUAUGUGCCAAGGUGAUCUGUCCAAAGCAUUUAUUAAGGGAACUUACAUAGUGUUGCAGGAAUCCUCCCCAUGGGUGGUGAGAGAAAAGGGACAUUCUACCUAGAUAUGUCUGCAGUGAGGGGGUCAGGGUAUGGAGUUUAUAUAAGGGUUUAAAGAAUUUGGCUCAGGGCCAGAGCUAGUUUCUUUCACUGUUUUCAGUGACAACUUAGAUACCUUUAUCAGUGCCUGGGAAUGUUCAAGACCCAAGUUUGGGUUCAAGCAUGCUGGGAAAAAAUCUGCAGCUGGCUAGGUCACAGAGAGGUCAAGGCACUCUGAUUUUCAGUCACAGAAUAGUCAAGGCUCUGUGAUUUCCAGUCAGAGAUCCUGCAAUCCAUUUUCCUGACUGGCUCUUACAAUCUCACAUGCCCAUCUCUUCCUAUAUGUUCCCUGAGCUGGUCAGAAAGGGUGGGAUCAUCGGCAAUUUCUUUCCCCUGGCUUUAUGAAACACUGCAAACAAAACCUACACUAACAGUAAAUACAAGUGCACCUGACAAAAUCUAAAAUCACAUUUUCCAAAAGGCUUCCUAGCAGAGCUUUCCACCAAGGACCCCAUCCUGGAAAACAUGACUUUGUGUAGACCACCAGGCAUACCCUAUGUGGUCAGUAAGCUGUAAUUGCUUUCGUGAGUGAAGGACGGAUUGAUUAACUUCAGCUUCUUUGUCUAGAAUAUACACACAAUGUUCACUUUUGUAAAGGGCACAGGUUCCCCCUUGCACAGAUGUCAGCAUCUCUAGGGCCAUUUGGUUUUGUAGACCACUUUUUUCACUGCAGCUGUUUCAAUGUUCAAGGCCUCCAUACCAUGUUUGGUGUUGUUCAAAGCUGUGGAGACAAAUCUCUGAAGGGCUUCCAGCUUCUACACAGUAUCAGAAGAACCUCCUGGAGGCACAAAUAUAGUCAAUAAGUAAUCCCACCAAGAAAAAACAGGUCUACUCCACUGACCUCUCCAGAUGGACUCAUUGAGGGAUACAGGAAUGGUGCCAGAGAUUCUGGAGUCAUCCAAGCCACCCCAGGGGAAGCCAGGGCUGGAG
Molecule: long non-coding RNA, 1974 nt
Filed under: Homo sapiens (human)
Lineage: Eukaryota; Metazoa; Chordata; Mammalia; Primates; Hominidae
Description: HSALNT0103209
Source: RNAcentral